Non-coding RNA from Salmo salar (Atlantic salmon), 741 nucleotides. Lineage: Eukaryota; Metazoa; Chordata; Actinopteri; Salmoniformes; Salmonidae. The record is from RefSeq and is a predicted model, not a curated record.
UCUGCUGUGGGUCGGGUAGGGUAGGGGGCUCACGCCUCCCGCCUCUCCCUUCCCUCGGCGCGGGUGAACUGGUCCUAGCCCGGUUCCCCGCAGUUCCUUUUUGCCUGGGAUGCGCCCGACUGGCUCCAUCCCCUUUCCCCGUUAGGCACGGCUAGAUGACGCACCGAUGGGUGGGUGUGUAGGCCGCUACCGAGGGGGACUGGGGGUGUCCGGUGAACCGGGACUUCCCGAAAUGGUCUCACAUUUUUAAGCGGCUUGAGUAUCACCCAGUAUCCUCGCGCGGCACUGGGAACCCAGUCAACCGCUCUGCGCCCGGCGCAGGCGGGGGUUUAAUGUCUCCCCGGCCCCACCGGGCGCUUCGGCGACGGCGGCAGAGGAGCACCCGGAGGCCCCCAUAAAGUUAAACCUACCUGUCUUUGAACUAUGACCUCUCGCUCUGGCGAAGGGCGGAGGAAAGGAGGGCAACCUCCCCAACUCCCAACCCUUGAAACACGGACCAAGGAGACUAACGCACGCGCAAGUCAGAGUGUUUUCUCCGACACACCCCGUGGCGCAAUGAAAGUGAGGGCCGGCGCGCGCUGGCUGAGGUGGGAUCCCGGCCCUACGGGGUUGGGCGCACCACCGGCCCGUCUCGCCCGCUCUGUCGGGGAGGUGGAGCGUGAGCGUGUGCGAUAGGACCCGAAAGAUGAUGAACUAUGCCUGGGCGGUCCUGACGUGCAAAUCGGUUGUCCGAUCACCGCG